This 71-nucleotide transfer RNA is filed under the name Jaagichlorella roystonensis. RNAcentral's name for it is "tRNA-Gly". It matches the Rfam family "tRNA". Rfam says of the family: Transfer RNA (tRNA) molecules are approximately 80 nucleotides in length. Lineage: Eukaryota; Viridiplantae; Chlorophyta; Trebouxiophyceae; Watanabeales; Watanabeaceae. The record is from RNAcentral.
GCGGAUAUAGAUUAAUGGUAAAUUCCCUGCCUUCCAAGCAGGAUAUACGGGUUCGAUUCCCGUUGUCCGCU